AGGGCAGGCCGGUGAAUCCGUCAUCCCAGAUCCUGGGGUCUAAGACUGCCACUUCUCUUGAGCUCCGGAGCUCUGAGCUGCAUGGAGAUAGGCAAGAUGGGUGUCUGCAUUAAUUUUGGGAUUCAUAUGGUGACUGCCAAGAAGUGGGGUGCCCCCCGGUUACUAAAAGAAGGGAGAAAUGACUCAGGUCAGAAAUGGGGCAAGUUAAAGCUUCUGUGACAUCAGUGAUGGGAUUGGACCUGUGAGUCACUACUGUGCCAGCAGCCUGGGUGAGAUGGGGAGUCAGUCUCA
This is an unclassified non-coding RNA of Monodelphis domestica (gray short-tailed opossum), 291 nucleotides long. It matches the Rfam family "Metazoan signal recognition particle RNA". From Rfam's summary of the family: The signal recognition particle (SRP) is a universally conserved ribonucleoprotein. It is involved in the co-translational targeting of proteins to membranes. Lineage: Eukaryota; Metazoa; Chordata; Mammalia; Didelphimorphia; Didelphidae. The record is from Ensembl.